ACGCUCGACACCUACGGGGGGCAGCAGUCGGGAAUAUUGCGCAAUGGAGGAAACUCUGACGCAGUGACGCCGCGUAUAGGAAGAAGGUCUUCGGAUUGUAAACUAUUGUCGUUAGGGAAGAAAAAGGACAGUACCUAAGGAGGAAGCUCCGGCUAACUACGUGCCAGCAGCCGCGGUAAUCUGAGCGGGCUGGCAAGGC
Molecule: ribosomal RNA, 199 nt
Filed under: uncultured bacterium
Lineage: Bacteria
Description: partial 16S ribosomal RNA
Rfam family: Bacterial small subunit ribosomal RNA
Source: RNAcentral